UACAGAGGGUGCAAGCGUUGUUCGGAAUUAUUGGGCGUAAAGGGCGCGUAGGCGGUGCGGUAAGUCUUUUUGUGAAAUCUCCGGGCUCAACUCGGAGUCUGCAGGAGAAACUGCCGUGCUUGAGUAUGGGAGAGGUGAGUGGAAUUCCUGGUGUAGCGGUGAAAUGCGUAGAUAUGUGGAGGAACACCGAUGGCGAAGGCAGCCCCCCUGGGAUAAUACUGACGCUCAUGCACGAAAGCGUGGGGGAGCAAACAGGG
RNAcentral lists this ribosomal RNA (257 nucleotides) under uncultured bacterium. Its description in RNAcentral is "partial 16S ribosomal RNA". It matches the Rfam family "Bacterial small subunit ribosomal RNA", at positions 524 to 777 of the family's 1533-position model. The record is from RNAcentral.